GUCAUCUAUGGAGUUGUGGCUGAGAGGUAAACAAAUGCUGGCGUCUCUCCUCGGUGGGGGUGGAAAAGAGCUAAUUUUACACCAAUUACUGACUGUUUGGUGACUCUCGCGCCCUGGGGAGGAAGAGGAAGGGCUUGGGCGUCACCACACUUACUAACACUCCGACACCGCCAGCACAGCAUCAUGGCCGCCACAGAACAGAAUACAGUGAGCAAGACGUGGGAGUUGUCACUGUACGAACUGCACCGCACACCACAGGAAGCCAUCACAGACAACACAGAGAUCGCCGUCUCACCGCGCUCCCUCCACUCAGAGCUCAUGUGUCCCAUCUGCCUCGACAUGCUCAAGAACACCAUGACCACCAAGGAAUGCCUCCACAGGUUCUGCCAGGAAUGCAUCAUCACCGCCCUACGCUCGGGAAACAAAGAGUGCCCAACGUGCCGCAAGAAACUGGUGUCCAAACGAUCCCUCCGGCCGGACCCAAAUUUCGACACGCUUAUCUCCAAGAUCUACCCGAGCCGAGAUGAAUACGAGCAGCACCAGGAACGUGUCAUUGCCAAGCUCAACAAGAACCACAACCACGCGUCGCUCAUCACGUCCAUUGAGGAAGGCAUCAAGCUACAGAUUCAGAGUCGCCAGAAGAACAGGAAGGCUUUGCAGGAGGACGGAGCCACACCCACACCCUCCGCCCCUUCCACACCCACCCCCACAGAUCCCUCCACCACCCCAGUCACCACGCCCAAUGUCACAGCCACCGCCACCACUACCACCGCUGCUGCUGCCACUACGCCUCAGUCCACUGCUACAAGUCUCGGCCCAAAGGUGAAGAAGCCAAGACGGACCUCAGAGAACGAGUCUGGGCCUGGUUCGAGUAAUGACGGCAACCCAGGCGAGGCGGAGGACGGCGGACCGGUGGAGGCAGGGGAGAUUGAGCUGGUGUUCCGCCCUCACCCGCUGGAGAUGAACGAGGACAAUGAGUUGAUAAGAGAAUUGAAGGACUCAUCAAUCCGCUACAUCAAGACCACAGCCAACGCCACCAUCGAUCACCUGUCCAAGUACCUGGCGAUGAGAUUAACCCUUGCCAACAGAACAGGAGAGUUGGAGACAGAGCUUCCAUCAUCACUCAAUAACUUCUGCAUCUACAUCGCCCCGACCCCCGACCAGUACAUUGGCGUGGUGGGCUCACUCACGCUGGAGCAGAUCAAUGAGAAGUACUGGAGGGUCAACAAGCCAAUGGAGAUGUUCUACUCUUGGAAGAAAAACUGAUUGGGUGUCCUUGUUUGUGUGCUGGAGAAAGAGAAAGAGAGAGAGAGAGAGAGAGAAAGAAAGAGUAUGUGUGUUUGAGGGAGUGAGGCUUUUUGUGUGUGUGUGUGUGUGUGUGUGUGUGUGUGUGUGUGUGUGUGUGUAUAGGAAUAAAUGAGUGUGUGUGUGUGUGUGUGAUGGUGUUGGUUCACCUGGUAGUAGUGGUAGUAGUAUUUGUCAGGGCUUUCCAUUCAUCCAUCACAAACAUCUCAGGACAAUUCAAGCAUUCAAACACCUUAACAUUAACAAUCCUUGCUAAAUUUCUAUACAAACUCUUAUUUAUUGAUUUUAAUUCAUUGCUGUUGUUGUUGUUAUCAUUGUUUAUCCUGACUGCUGUAUAGAGGUACUGUCAUUUUAUCACUGUCUCUCCUUUUUUUGACGUUCUAUAUUUUUCAAAGACAUUUUACUGGGUUUUGAUUGAAGUUUUGCUCUGACGUACUAGGAAUUCACUUUUAGCCAGACUGAUAUACAAAGGUCAUCAUUUUUGCAUUUCUUCUCUAUUUUUUUCUCUUUUCUCUUUUUUUUUUUUUCAAGGGCUUUUUUUUGUGUGUUUUGGUUUGUGUUUUGUCCUGACGUAGUAGGAAUUAAUGUUUUGUUUUCCUUUGUUUUUCUUUUUGUGUUUGAUAUGCUGUAUAGAACUUACCUUUGUUCAUCAUUUCUCUCCAUUUCUUUUCUUUCAUCUAAAUUUUUUCAAGAUUUUGUUUCUAUUUUGUCCUGAUGUGGAAGUGCUAUUUUUACCUCCAUUUUUCGUGUGUGUGUGUGUGUGUGUGUGUGUGUGUGUGUGUGUGUGUGUGUGUGUGUGUGUUUAAAUCUGAUAUGACAAUAAUGGGAUGAAACGAGCCUUAGUGUUAUCUUUUUAUCUAUACAUACUAUACGAGAGAGAGAGAGAGAGAGAGAGAUUGCAAUUUUUAGAUAUGACAGAAAAACACCCACAAUUAAUCUUUUAUAUCUGUGUAUUCUGAAUUGGUGUGUGUGUGUGUGCGUGUGUGUGUGCAUGUGUGUGUAUGUGUCUGCCGGAUCCCAGGAAAUAGUUGGAUUCUAACAAAUAUCCCAAUGAAUUCCAUUUUUUCCUGUUUGCCUUUCCUAAUAAAUCAAGAAAGUGCUAAA
Molecule: unclassified non-coding RNA, 2409 nt
Filed under: Portunus trituberculatus (swimming crab)
Lineage: Eukaryota; Metazoa; Arthropoda; Malacostraca; Decapoda; Portunidae
Description: e3 ubiquitin-protein ligase RING1-like, transcript variant X1
Source: RNAcentral